UAGUCAUAUGCUUGUCUUAAAGACUAAGCCAUGCAUGUCUAAGUAUAAGUAUUAUACAGCGAAACUGCGAAUGGCUCAUUAAAACAGUUAUAGUUUAUUCGAUUAUUUUCUCCUACAUGGAUAACCGUAGUAAUUCUAGAGCUAAUACAUGCUGUCAAACCUGACUUUUGUGGAAGGGUUGUAUUUAUUAGAUAUAAAACCAAUACUCGCAAGAGGAUUGUGAUGAUUCAUAAUAACUGAGCGGAUCGCGGCUUUGCCGCGACGAAUCGUUCAAGUUUCUGCCCUAUCAGCUUUUGAUGGUAGUGUAUUGGACUACCAUGGCGAUCACGGGUAACGGGGAAUUAGGGUUCGAUUCCGGAGAGGGAGCCUGAGAAAUGGCUACCACAUCUAAGGAAGGCAGCAGGCGCGUAAAUUACCCAAUCCUAAUUCAGGGAGGUAGUGACAAGAAAUAACAACUCGGGCCUCUUAUGAGGUUACGAGAUUGCAAUGAGAACAAUUUAAACCACUUAUCGAGUAACAAAG
RNAcentral lists this ribosomal RNA (522 nucleotides) under uncultured eukaryote. RNAcentral describes it as "SSU rRNA". It matches the Rfam family "Eukaryotic small subunit ribosomal RNA", at positions 21 to 549 of the family's 1831-position model. The record is from RNAcentral.